UACGGAGGGGGCUAGCGUUGUUCGGAAUUACUGGGCGUAAAGCGCACGUAGGCGGAUUGUUAAGUCGGGGGUGAAAGCCCGGGGCUCAACGACGGAAUGGCCUCCGAUACUGGCAAUCUUGAGGUCGGGAGAGGUGAGUGGAAUGGCGAGUGUAGAGGUGAAAUUCGUAGAUAUUCGCCGGAACACCAGUGGCGAAGGCGGCUCACUGGCCCGAUACUGACGCUGAGGUGCGACAGCGUGGGGAGCAAACAGG
This 253-nucleotide ribosomal RNA is filed under the name uncultured bacterium. RNAcentral's name for it is "partial 16S ribosomal RNA". It matches the Rfam family "Bacterial small subunit ribosomal RNA", at positions 524 to 776 of the family's 1533-position model. The record is from RNAcentral.